UGGCGGACGGGUGAGUAAUGUCUGGGAAACUGCCUGAUGGGGGGGGAUAACUACUGGAAACGGUAGCUAAUACCGCAUAACGUCGCAAGACCAAAGAGGGGGACCUUCGGGCCUCUUGCCAUCGGAUGUGCCCAGAUGGGAUUAGCUAGUAGGUGGGGUAAAGGCUCACCUAGGCGACGAUCCCUAGCUGGUCUGAGAGGAUGACCAGCCACACUGGAACUGAGACACGGUCCAG
RNAcentral lists this ribosomal RNA (235 nucleotides) under uncultured bacterium. RNAcentral describes it as "partial 16S ribosomal RNA". It matches the Rfam family "Bacterial small subunit ribosomal RNA", at positions 96 to 334 of the family's 1533-position model. The record is from RNAcentral.